UACGUAGGGGGCAAGCGUUGUCCGGAAUCAUUGGGCGUAAAGCGCGUGUAGGCGGUCCGGUAAGUCCGCUCUGAAAGCCCGGGGCUCAACCCCGGGAGGCGGGCGGAUACUGUCGGGCUAGAGUCCGGAAGAGGCGAGUGGAAUUCCUGGUGUAGCGGUGAAAUGCGCAGAUAUCAGGAGGAACACCGAUGGCGAAGGCAGCUCGCUGGGACGGUACUGACGCUGAGGCGCGAAAGCGUGGGGAGCAAACAGG
RNAcentral lists this ribosomal RNA (253 nucleotides) under uncultured bacterium. RNAcentral describes it as "partial 16S ribosomal RNA". It matches the Rfam family "Bacterial small subunit ribosomal RNA", at positions 524 to 776 of the family's 1533-position model. The record is from RNAcentral.